GAACGAAAGCAAACGAAACAGAGAAGAACAGGGGAGAAAGAAAGGAAAGAAGAAAGAAAAGGAGAAAUAAGGUUUAUGAAGCUUGGAGUUAAUUGCCAACAAAGAACCUGAAGCAUCAGCAUCGAAAGGAAAGGAGAAAGUCAUCGAGGACUAAAACGGGAGAAUUACGGUUAGUAGAAGUCAAGUGUCCCGGUUCAGCAUCCAGAACAAUCCCGACUCCAACACAAACUUGGUGAUGUAUAUUUUUCUUUU
Molecule: long non-coding RNA, 252 nt
Organism: Gossypium arboreum
Lineage: Eukaryota; Viridiplantae; Streptophyta; Magnoliopsida; Malvales; Malvaceae
Exons: 3
Source: RefSeq, a predicted model, not a curated record